AAAAUUUGAACAAAAGAGUCUAAAUAUUAUCACAAGUCCAAUAACAAUAUUAAGUGGUUCAAAUACAUUACAUAGUUCCCACGAGUUCAAAUAUAUUACAUUUACCGGUUCAAAUAUAUGUCGUUCACAAAUAACACGGAAGAUACAAUACAUGCUCCGGCGAAGAUCAUUCCCAUGAGUGUGCAUUUCACCGAUGGAAUGACUAGCCGACACAGAGCCACAGAGGACGAUUAGCCAGUGGCAGGGCGCGAGUGGGGCAGGGCGGUUUAUCAUCAAAUCGAGCGAUUAAUCGGUGAAGAUGAACGACUUACCGAUUCAACGAACGAGAAGGCGCCUUGUGCGGCUUUACGGUGCAGUCGGCCGGCUAGUCGCG
This 373-nucleotide long non-coding RNA is filed under the name Zea mays. RNAcentral describes it as "long non-coding RNA (ZMAY_LNC000701)". The record is from RNAcentral. Lineage: Eukaryota; Viridiplantae; Streptophyta; Magnoliopsida; Poales; Poaceae.